This 87-nucleotide transfer RNA is filed under the name Streptomyces albiflavescens. RNAcentral describes it as "tRNA-Ile". Lineage: Bacteria; Bacillati; Actinomycetota; Actinomycetes; Kitasatosporales; Streptomycetaceae. The record is from RNAcentral.
UGUGGACGUCGGGCACGGCUCCGCUGGUGAUGUCGGUGGUCGGAUGCAUCGCGGCCGGACUGCUGAUCCUGUUCGGCACGCUCGCGU